Molecule: ribosomal RNA, 253 nt
Filed under: uncultured bacterium
Lineage: Bacteria
Description: partial 16S ribosomal RNA
Rfam family: Bacterial small subunit ribosomal RNA
Source: RNAcentral
UACAGAGGGUGCAAGCGUUAAUCGGAAUUACUGGGCGUAAAGGGUGCGUAGGCGGGUCUUUAAGUCAGGGGUGAAAUCCUGGAGCUCAACUCCAGAACUGCCUUUGAUACUGAGGAUCUUGAGUUCGGGAGAGGUGAGUGGAACUGCGAGUGUAGAGGUGAAAUUCGUAGAUAUUCGCAAGAACACCAGUGGCGAAGGCGGCUCACUGGCCCGAUACUGACGCUGAGGCACGAAAGCGUGGGGAGCAAACAGG